AUUAGGGAACAUCCAAUUCCAAACCAGCAUAUAUAGAUCACACUAUCAAAGGCCAAUAUUAGGCCAUAGUACCAUACAAAUUAAUCCAAGAUUUUGAUAAUUUUCUUGAAUAUAUUAACAUUAUAACAACUGCAGCUUAACUUUGCCUUUUCUCAAUCCCAGUCUUGGGAAUAUCCGAUGCGGAAUUUGAGAUUUCUGCAGGUGAAGUCUCAAUUGUGGUGGUGGGGUUGACAUAUACUCCAAUUGACUUGAGUCCUUGCGUAGUGAAUGAUCCAUGAAACCCACCAAAUUGCCUCCUCUUUCCCAUGUCAAAGUUGAACUCACGUAACUGUGUUCCAAAUGGAGGUUCGCGGUUACCAUAUGGCCCAUACGUUUCUUUGUUGGUAGUAAAUGUUAUUAACCUGACACCAUUGUUGGUGUAUUUACCGCUCACCUUUACGAGGAACUCUGAUGGGCAAUUGAAUUGAACAGAGUAAAAAUUGGGGCCGUGAGGUGCACCAUAUGGAGGAGAAAGCACCGAAGAGCCAUUUUGAACAUACUGAAAUUGAAUGCAACUAAUACAAUCUUCAUUAUGAGAAACGAAAAUUUGGGAGAUUUCACCAUGGCCCUUCUCAUCCCAGAAAGUGACGCUGUCCAUUUUUGUUGGUAGACUCUGUAGCUUGAUCAUCUUGAUAGCAGCAGCUCACUAUUUCGUUUAAACGAAAACGAAAUGAACUCUUUAUUAUCCUGGAAAAUUCCUUAACGAUCAAAAUCAUUAAUCAUCUCAUAUCCUCAAAAAGACAAAGAAAAAUUCAUCUCAUAGCUUUUCAUAUAAAGAAGAAAAAAAGGGAAAUUUUAUUAAGAUGAAGCAAUGAUUGACUUGCCGAUUGUAACUAUCCUCUUCUUUCUCUUUGAUUUUCCUCUUCAGUCUCUCCCUUCUCUUUUCAUUUAAUUUUCACCUUCUGCAAGAAUAUAAAUCUUUUCCCAUGCAUUUUCUCUCUUAUCAAUUUAGAGCUCUCUUAACUUUUCUUGCUCUCUACUCUUUUUGUUGUUCCUUUCUUUAUUUUUCUUUCUCAUUCUCUCUCUUCU
This 1068-nucleotide unclassified non-coding RNA is filed under the name Hevea brasiliensis (rubber tree). The record is from RNAcentral. Lineage: Eukaryota; Viridiplantae; Streptophyta; Magnoliopsida; Malpighiales; Euphorbiaceae.